This 604-nucleotide unclassified non-coding RNA is filed under the name uncultured fungus. Its description in RNAcentral is "sequence contains ITS1, 5.8S rRNA gene, ITS2 and 28S rRNA gene". Lineage: Eukaryota; Fungi. The record is from RNAcentral.
GAUUUGAGAUCGAACGUUCAAAAGUUGUCCUCGCUGGGGAGAGACGUUUAUGAGCCCCAAUGAACCUUCAUCGCUGAGGGUUACCUGACGGACAACCGCGAGCGUAGAUAGUUAUCACACCCGUGACGCCGCCAAACACUGGCAAGCUGAUUCAUUUGAGAGGAGCUGGCCACAAGGCCAGCAAACCCCCAAAGUCCAAGCUCAUCAUGGAAGACCAUGAGAGUUGAGGUGUUCAUGAUACUCAAACAGGCAUGCUCCGAGGAAUAACCAAGGGGCGCAAGGUGCGUUCAAAGAUUCGAUGAUUCACUGAAUUCUGCAAUUCACAUUACUUAUCGCAUUUCGCUGCGUUCUUCAUCGAUGCGAGAGCCAAGAGAUCCGUUGCUGAAAGUUGUAUUGUAUUGCGUUAAACGCGAAAAAACAUUCCAUGAGACAUCGCUACGGUGUGUGUGUAAAGACGUAGAGCUACGGAAGGAAGACAAUGUCUCCCGGUCCACAGAACUACAGAGGGUGCACAGGUGUGAGUGGAUGUGUAAACAGAGCGUGCACAUGCCCCGUUCGGGGGCCAGCAACAACCCGUGUUUGACAAUUCGGUAAUGAUCCUUCC